GGGAGCGGAAGGGGACCGGUGUCUUCCACAGUCUUCAAAACUGAUGCGGGGCGGUCCGCACCGUCUCGGGUGGGUUCGACUCCCAUGCGCUCCCGCCA
This 98-nucleotide transfer RNA is filed under the name Chloroflexota bacterium. RNAcentral describes it as "Chloroflexi bacterium tRNA-Sec". It matches the Rfam family "Selenocysteine transfer RNA". The record is from RNAcentral. Lineage: Bacteria; Bacillati; Chloroflexota.